This 1546-nucleotide unclassified non-coding RNA is filed under the name Hevea brasiliensis (rubber tree). Lineage: Eukaryota; Viridiplantae; Streptophyta; Magnoliopsida; Malpighiales; Euphorbiaceae. The record is from RNAcentral.
GGGAAACCCUUCCCCUCCCUCUCUCCACAGCGCCGCCCCACUCUCACUCUUCUCCGUUUUUGCUCCAGAAAGAGGAGCUACCAGACUGCUGCUCCGUCUCCUUCACCUCCCCUACCUCUAUCUUCUCCGUCUCCUUUUUCUCCUCGUUCGGACCAGCAAAGCGUAGCUGGCAGCUGCAAUCUCCGGCAACAGCUACAAACAGCUCCAUCCGGCAAACAGCCGCCUCUCAUCUUCUUCCCUUCUCCCUCUCCCGUCGCCUCCUUCUCUCCUUUCUCCCUUCUUCUCCUUGCCCCUUUCGAUUUUCAUUUUUCUUUGCAGGUACUCCGGCGAGCAACAGCAGCAGCGAUGCCAGCGAGAACCAGCCGCAACAGCUUCCAACAACUCCGGACAGCAGCCACUAGCGACAACGGCUCUGGCAAAGGUGACCACUGAAGGCCAACGACAGCAACAUCAGCAACCGGCUGAAGCAGCAGCAACAAACGACGGUACAUUACACACCACCGCCUCAAUCCCAUAACUCCCAGCGUUGUCCAAAGAAGCUUACAAACUCCGACAAAUCUCCCUUCCAGAUCUGGUUGAGAAAAGAGACUUUGCUUGAGGGCUCAACCAAGUCGUCAAUUUGAGUGUUGAGAGAAAAGAAACUGCGGAGAAGAUGAAUCAGAGGUCAGCCGUAAGAGGGAGGCCGUCGGGAACUGAUGGCUCUGAUUUCUCCUACCGCAUGGUCGUUGAUUCAAGAUACACGAAAGUUGCAAAAGCAAAGUCUCGUUUGGCCAAAUUGAUCAUCGUUCAGGUUGUCACUCAAUUGAUGAUAGCAGCUAAUGUAUUUGUUUCAUUAUCAAAGAACGAGUCUCCCGACAGAGUCUCGGUUGUUUCCCUUGGGAUUGGUUUCGUGUCUGUUGUGGCAGGAGAACUAGGUCGAAAGAAAAGCCGAUCCAACUUUCUGAAGUUUUAUGUCUUUGGGUCGUCAAUGGCAAUCCUGCUGUCAGUGGCAUAUCUUGCUAUGAGCAAGUUCCAAUUGGAGGCUUUCCAAAAUUUCACGAGUUUGGAGACUCUAAAGAUUGCAGCUGUCCUACUAGGAUUUUUGGUACAAUUGUUUGUAAUUGGUACAACCAUUUCUCUCAUUAAAAAUAUGGCACCUCCUAAGAGGGCUUCUUGAUUAUAGUCACUCUGGUGCAACUUCAAAUGCCUUUUGACUGACUAAAGAGGAUACUUAUAUACAUAUGGCGUUUUUGAUUUAAGAUAACGUGAGCUGAGUAUCAGAUCCUACUGGUGUACUUUGGAUAUCAGUGUUUCUUCUCUUCACACAAUUCCGCGUCGAGACAUGAUUGUUGGAUUUAGAAGGACUCGUACUGGAUUGAACUCACUUCCUAUCUUUUACAUUAUGUUUCAUCAGAUGCUACGGUUGCUGAUCGCGUACAUUCUCUUGGGACUUAAAAUACACAUUUUGGCUAAAUACUCAAAUCAGAAUUUUGAGAACAUGGAUUUUGUUUGAUGAUCUUUACUUGGCUCUUGUUUGUUGAAUUCUUUAACUUCACUUGGAAACAAA